UCCGGUCUAGGUGGUCAGGUCCAUUUGAGAUUAUACAAGUUUUACCACAUGGAGCUGUUGAGCUGAAGAGUGGUGAUAGGACCUUCAAGGUCAAUGGGCAAAGGUUGAAGGAAUACAUAGAUGGAGGAUUUGAGCAACCAAAAACCUCCAUAUCACUGACAUAAUGCAUUGGGAUAGUCAAGCUAACGACUAUAAACUAGCGCUUCUUGGGAGGCAACCCAAGCAAAAU
RNAcentral lists this long non-coding RNA (229 nucleotides) under Elaeis guineensis (African oil palm). RNAcentral describes it as "long non-coding RNA (EGUI_LNC069224)". The record is from RNAcentral. Lineage: Eukaryota; Viridiplantae; Streptophyta; Magnoliopsida; Arecales; Arecaceae.